AUUGAACGCUGGCGGCAGGCCUAACACAUGCAAGUCGAGCGGCUGAAGGGAGUUUGCUCUUGGAUUCAGUGGCGGACGGGUGAGUAAUGCAUAGGAAUCUGCCCGGUAGUGGGGGAUAACGCCGCGAAAGCGGCGCUAAUACCGCAUACGACCUGAGGGUGAAAGCGGGGGAUCUUCAGACCUCACGCUAUUAGAUCAGCCUAUGUCGGAUUAGCUAGUUGGUGGGGUAAAGGCCUACCAAGGCGACGAUCCGUAACUGGUCUGAGAGGAUGAUCAGCCACACUGGAACUGAGACACGGUCCAGACUCCUACGGGAGGCAGCAGUGGGGAAUAUUGGACAAAGGGCGAAAGCCUGAUCCAGCCAUGCCGCGUGUGUGAAGAAGGUCUUCGGAUUGUAAAGCGCUUUAAGUUGGGAAGAAGGGCAGUGAGUUAAUACCUCGCUGUUUUGACGGUACCGAAAGAAUAAGCACCGGCUAACUACGUG
Molecule: ribosomal RNA, 484 nt
Filed under: uncultured bacterium
Lineage: Bacteria
Description: partial 16S ribosomal RNA
Rfam family: Bacterial small subunit ribosomal RNA
Source: RNAcentral